This is a long non-coding RNA of Symphalangus syndactylus (siamang), 437 nucleotides long. RefSeq lists it as uncharacterized. The record is from RefSeq and is a predicted model, not a curated record. NCBI's taxonomy places the organism in Eukaryota, Metazoa, Chordata, Mammalia, Primates, Hylobatidae.
GAGACGGAGUCUUGCUCUGUCACCCAGGCUGGAGUGCAGUGGUGCCAUCAUAGCUCACUGUAGCCUCGAACUCCUGGGCUCAAGGGAUCCUCUCCCCUCAGCUUCCUGAGUAGCUGGGACCACAGGCUCACACCACUACACCCAGGCAGAUCCUAAAGUGGCUCCCAUGAUUCCUGCCUUCUGGUGUUCACAUCCUGUGCAUAAUUCCCUACUCUUGAGUGUGGGCGUGACCUGUGACUUGUUUCUCGUCAACAGUGUAUAGCACAGCCCAGGGUGGGGACCACAUUGCAAGGAACUGUGGGAAGCCUCUCGAAGCUGAGAGCAGAAUCCAGCCAAUGGCAAGAAGCCAGGCACCUCAGUCCUGCAGCCACAAGGAAAUGAAUCCUGCUAGCAACCCGACAAGGCUUAGAAAUGGAUCCUUCCCCAGUUGAGCCUCU